RNAcentral lists this ribosomal RNA (465 nucleotides) under uncultured bacterium. RNAcentral's name for it is "partial 16S ribosomal RNA". It matches the Rfam family "Bacterial small subunit ribosomal RNA", at positions 338 to 795 of the family's 1533-position model. The record is from RNAcentral.
CCUACGGGAGGCUGCAGUAGGGAAUCUUCCACAAUGGACGAAAGUCUGAUGGAGCAACGCCGCGUGUGUGAAGAAGGGUUUCGGCUCGUAAAGCCCUGUUGGUAGUGAAGAAAGAUUGAGGUAGUAACUGGCCUUUAUUUGACGGUACUUACUUAGAAAGUCACGGCUAACUACGUGCCAGCAGCCGCGGUAAUACGUAGGUGGCAAGCGUUGUCCGGAUUUAUUGGGCGUAAAGCGAGUGCAGGCGGUUCAAUAAGUCUGAUGUGAAAGCCUUCGGCUCAACCGGGGAAUUGCAUCAGAAACUGUUGAACUUGAGUGCAGAAGAGGAGGGUGGAACUCCAGGUGUAGCGGUGGAAUGCGUAGAUAUAUGGAAGAACACCAGUGGCGAAGGCGGCUCUCUGGUCGGCAACUGACGCUGAGGCUCGAAAGCAUGGGUAGCGAACAGGAUUAGAUACCCGAGUAGUC